This is a long non-coding RNA of Neofelis nebulosa (Clouded leopard), 1147 nucleotides long. RefSeq lists it as uncharacterized. The transcript has 3 exons. The record is from RefSeq and is a predicted model, not a curated record. NCBI's taxonomy places the organism in Eukaryota, Metazoa, Chordata, Mammalia, Carnivora, Felidae.
GUACUCCUGGACAGGGCUGCAUGCACAGAGCAGAUAGCCUGAAGCCUGGGGAGAGGUGGACAAAGAGACAGGUAAGGGGAGAGAAACUGGAUGAGUGAUAGGGGAAUGGGGCAAGACCGAGAGAGUGAAAGGAAGAAACACAGAGAGGUUGGUUAGAGAGAAACAUAAACAAAGAGGAAGUACAAAGAGAAAAGUGGAGACCUGGUCCAGGUACGUGGACAGGGCGAGAUGGGCCAGGGGAGAGGGGAUGUGUGAAGUGGCUCUGAGUGUUGGGGCAGAAAGGGCUGGUAUCAUGGGCAUCAUAGUUUCAUGACUCUAAGACUCCAACAUCCCUGGGGCCAAGCUCUGCAGAGGCCAUUGCAAUUGAAAAGAUGGGCAUCUGUCACCUCUCCUGGAAUUGCGGGGCCCAGCGUUAUGUUCUGUCAUGGAGAAGGAUGUCUUCAGGGAGAGUGUGCUGCUCUUUGGCAGGUAAGCUCCAGAGCCUACCCUGUGGGGAGGUGUCCCGGGGUCAUCUGCCUCACUGCCCCAGGCCCUGUGGGAUUUCCCCCCUCCCGCCACCAGCUGGCGUUCCUCAUGUUCUGAACCCAGGCAUGAGGCAUCAUGUUGCCCCCAGGUCCGGCAGUCUGGACCUGGCAGAGUUGAACUGCUGAUAUUGAUAAAAAGUGUAUGACAAGAAUGUCCAUAUUCUCCCUCUGGAACGAGCGGUGUGCAUCCAAAUCGUGGGUUGCUAUCCUCCUGUCCACAACCAAUCUGAGGAUUCCAGAAGGUAGUAUUUGAACAAGACAUAUUUUACUGAAGGACUCGUGGAUUGCGGGGUCCCACGACAUCACCUCAUCGAUGCAGUCGAUGGUUGGUUCCAGAUUCAGGCUCGUUUCCGGGAAGAAACCCUGACAGAAGUUGAGAAGCACGGGAGCUGCAUUCCGUUAGGACGUGAAUACAUGAAAUGCUCCUCUCACGACCUUCUAGAAGAAUGAGCUGGGACCCAGUUUCUGCGUCCUGCUGGAACCAGAGACGGAGAUAUUGCCCAGGUGUCUGAAAGCCUGCAUUGAGCUGAGCCUUAAGAGAGAAGUUUGGAAUUCAGUUUUGAGAGUAGACAGCCAGUCCAAGAAAGCCUUGUAAUUGGCUCUUAGAUUUCAGUUGUGAGAGA